CUAAUCUAGCAAACGAAUUCACAACAGAGUGAUUUUAGAUGUUGUAGAACUAUAAGAUGUUAAGCUGUGCGUCUUUUUCAUAACAGUGACAUGGUUGUAUUUACCUUAAUUCAACGAGUCGUCAGUCGCGGUAAACCCAUCAGCAAAUAAACUGGAGCAGCCGUGCUAUGUAAAAAGUGUAGGGCGGGAGUGUGACACAGUCGCUCCACCUCAAGUCACUACUGCCAGGACUCGAGAAGGGUCUGGCUGCAGCCACUGUGGAGCUCCACAGUAACCGGAAACACGUGACCUCCACAGUAGCCGGAAACACGUGACCUCCACAGUAACCGGAAACACGUGACCUCCACAGUAGGCAGAAAUACGUUCCUGCGUGGAUCAUCGACUGCGGAAAUCUUGCAAGUGGAUCGUAAAGAUGCUCAUAUCAAUUUGGAGUUCUGCCUCCAAGCCAGAAUUGCAGUAAUGCACCACGUGUUGGCUGUUUCACUGCCCUCUGUGCCCCACUUUCAGCCCUAUUGUCAGGAGCAUAUAAAUGGACACAUUAAAAAUGCUUUGCCUUUCAAAGACAAAAUGAUAUACCGGUGCACUUUCACUGCCCUGUCUGUAACAUGACAGUCAUACAGCGUGGGGAUAUGGCAAGGCAAUUUUUCUCAUGUCAGCAUUCAGGACUGCUCCCCACUGAACUCUCCGUGGAGCCCCAUCUCCCUCUCGAUGUCUCCAGUAUCUAAACCAUUUUCUGAAUCUUCAGUAGAACAUUCAUGUGCUCUACCCUCUGUGCUAAAUGAAACUGUGGCUUGUGGAAAGUCCUUGAAAAUGAAACGCCCUCACUGUGGUCUUAGUCUUCUUGAAAAAAAACUUCAAGGCUCACAUGAUGAGGAGGCAUUCAAACAGAUCAAUAAAUGUUUGCCUGGCCUGUCAUCUGCAGUGUUUUUGUGUAGAGGGACUUCUUCCUCUUUGUUUUUCAGUUUGCAGAGGACAUGGAGCUCUUUUUAAAAGCUUGUGCUGAUGAGCAGGGACUAUGGGUCAAUGCGAUGUUUGACAUUUAAUGGACAGAUGAAGGCACUGGCCGUAUUUGUGUUUUUUAUGUGUUGUUUGUUUUUCAGUGUACAGAAUUCCAGUUAAACGUGUUAUUAAAUAUCCACUUGUUUCCAUGUCCAUACUUACAGUAAAAAAAUUAAGUGUAAAUGCAACAGCAUUGUUUAUACUUGUAACUUCAGAGUAAAAAGCUUAUUGUUGAUAUUAACAUUAAUAUAUUACCCUGUAAUCAAUAAUAUUUUUAUACAUUUUAUGCAUUAACCCUCUGAUCUCUAUCCUGGCCAUUUGUGGCCACUUCACUUCUUCUUUUUUUGACUACUACAUUGCAGUGGAUCAAAAGAAUGACACAGGUUUGAUCUUAAGGAUCUAAUACUUGUGUGUGUUUGUGCAUGACAUUGCAACGCAAAUAUGCAUUUGCAAGAUAAACUGAAAUAAAUUAUGACGCAUCAAAUAUUACACAGGCUGCAGUGAAUUUUUGUUGAUACUGGCUAUUGAGAUUUGAGUUUCCCAGUCACUAGCUUUGAAGCACAUGCUAAAAACACUUUUACUCUUGUACAUUUCAUAACAAGACACCAUAGCCAAAAUAUUAACAAAAUAUAUAUUAAUAAAAAAAUUCAAAGCUGCAGCUGCAGCACAUACAGCAACAAACACUGUUAGUAAAUGUGUCCGGGAGUUUAUGCAGGUGCAGAAAGUGCUGUUGCUGUAAGUAAGCCUAACAGCUUCCAGAUCACUUAUUUUUCUGGAAAGAUGGUAGGAAGGGCAUCACUGCUCAUUUCUAUAAUCUCCCAGAUCUUGGAAUACAAUGCCUUUGUACCAUGAAACCACUUCACAGUACUAGGAGUCCACUAAAACCUACAAAGAGAGUGAUCCUGGAAGAAAUGGGGCACACACUAGUGACCUCAACAAUUGCAA
This is a long non-coding RNA of Oreochromis niloticus (Nile tilapia), 1944 nucleotides long. RefSeq lists it as uncharacterized. Lineage: Eukaryota; Metazoa; Chordata; Actinopteri; Cichliformes; Cichlidae. The transcript is spliced from 3 exons. The record is from RefSeq and is a predicted model, not a curated record.